GGUCCCGCCUGCCCAGUGACUAACCACUUAAACGGCCGCGGUAUCCUAACCGUGCAAAGGUAGCGUAAUCACUUGUCCCCUAAAUAGGGACUAGUAUGAACGGCUAAAUGAGGGCCCAACUGUCUCCUUUAAUUAAUCAGUGAAAUUGAUCUACCAGUACAAAAGCUGGUAUACACCCAUAAGACGAGAAGACCCUGUGGAGCUUAAAAUACUUAAGUCAAAACAACACUGCCAAAAAUGACAUAACAUUUUCAGUUGGGGCGACUACGGAAACAAGCCAAACUUCCAAGCCAAGGGCCAACCCGCCCUACCACAGACAAACAUGUCAAACUAACACCUGACCCAGAACCACUCUGAAUAACGAACCAAGUUACCCCAGGGAUAACAGCGCUAUCUUCUUCAAGAGUCCCCAUCGACAAGAAGGUUUACGACCUCGAUGUUGGAUCAGGACACCCAAAUGGUGCAGCCGCUAUAAAGG
Molecule: ribosomal RNA, 478 nt
Filed under: Ophisaurus compressus (island glass lizard)
Lineage: Eukaryota; Metazoa; Chordata; Lepidosauria; Squamata; Anguidae
Description: partial 16S ribosomal RNA
Rfam family: Bacterial large subunit ribosomal RNA
Source: RNAcentral